GAUGAAGAACGUAGCGAAAUGCGAUAAGAAAUGUGAAUUGCAGAAUUCAGUGAAUCAUCGAAUCUUUGAACGCACAUUGCGCCCCCUGGUAUUCCGGGGGGCAUGCCUGUUCGAGCGUCAUUUCACCACUCAAGCCUCGCUUGGUAUUGGGCAACGCGGUCCGCCGCGUGCCUCAAAUCGUCCGGCUGGGUCUUCUGUCCCCUAAGCGUUGUGGAAACUAUUCGCUAAAGGGUGUUCGGGAGGCUACGCCGUAAAACAACCCCAUUUCUAAGGUUGACCUCGGAUCAGGUAGGGAUACCCGCUGAACUUAAGCAUAUCAAUAACGGAGGA
Molecule: unclassified non-coding RNA, 330 nt
Filed under: soil metagenome
Description: partial contains 5.8S ribosomal RNA, internal transcribed spacer 2, and large subunit ribosomal RNA
Rfam family: 5.8S ribosomal RNA (bases 1-120)
Source: RNAcentral